RNAcentral lists this transfer-messenger RNA (360 nucleotides) under Gemmatimonadaceae. RNAcentral describes it as "UBA4720 sp013816855 Standard tmRNA". It matches the Rfam family "transfer-messenger RNA". From Rfam's summary of the family: Bacterial tmRNA, also known as 10Sa RNA or SsrA, is named for its dual tRNA and mRNA-like properties. RNAcentral also lists the same sequence under 1 other name. Lineage: Bacteria; Pseudomonadati; Gemmatimonadota; Gemmatimonadia; Gemmatimonadales. The record is from RNAcentral.
GGGGGCGACUGGCUUCGACGGGACCUGUGAAGCUGUGGCCGCGUGCCGAGGUCUCUGGAUCCUCGUAAAACCUUCGGAACGAUUCACAACUGCCAACUCUAACCUGGCACUGGCUGCGUAACUCUUAGGAGUUACUGCACCUGCUCUUAGAUCAGCCCUCCUGAGGCGGGUUUAAGAGUAUCGCAAAUUCGGGAUAGUCCGUUGUCGCGUCUUCAGGCGGCGGGCGAAAAUUUAGAAGACUUGUUCAGCAGUGGGCCGUCCACUGGCCAGCGGCUGGAGACAUCAAUCGGUGGACUACGCACGUAGAAGCUGUGGUGAAUCUAUUCUCGGACCGGGGUUCGAAUCCCCGCGCCUCCACUC